RNAcentral lists this ribosomal RNA (519 nucleotides) under uncultured bacterium. RNAcentral describes it as "bacterial SSU rRNA". It matches the Rfam family "Bacterial small subunit ribosomal RNA", at positions 21 to 518 of the family's 1533-position model. The record is from RNAcentral.
GGCUCAGAACGAACGCUGGCGGCGUGCUUAACACAUGCAAGUCGAACGCGAAAGGGACUUCGGUCCUGAGUAAAGUGGCGCACGGGUGAGUAACGCGUAGAUAACCUGUCUUUAUGUCUGGAAUAAUACGCCGAAAGGGGUACUAAUACCGGAUAUUUUUUGCAUUGCAUAAGCAGUGUAAGCAAAGGUGGCCUCUGACAUAAGCUACUGCAUAAAGAGGGGUCUGCGUACCAUUAGCUAGUAGGUGGGGUAAAGGCCUACCUAGGCUACGAUGGUUAGCGGGUCUGAGAGGAUGAUCCGCCACACUGGCACUGGAACACGGGCCAGACUCCUACGGGAGGCAGCAGUGAGGAAUAUUGCGCAAUGGGGGCAACCCUGACGCAGCGACGCCGCGUGAGUGAGGAAGGCCUUCGGGUCGUAAAGCUCUGUCAAAGGGAAAGAAGUGCAUGGUGGUUAAUACCUGCCAUGUUUGACGGUACCCUUAAAGGAAGCACCGGCUAACUCCGUGCCAGCAGCCGC